This 455-nucleotide ribosomal RNA is filed under the name uncultured bacterium. RNAcentral's name for it is "SSU rRNA". It matches the Rfam family "Bacterial small subunit ribosomal RNA", at positions 26 to 518 of the family's 1533-position model. The record is from RNAcentral.
AGGAUAAACGCUGGCGGCGUGCCUUAUGCAUGCAAGUCGAACGUGAAGCCGACUUCGGUUGGUGGAAAGUGGCGAACGGGUGAGUAACACGUAGGAACCUGCCCAGAAGUGGGGGAUAACCCCGCGAAAGCGGAGCUAAUACCGCAUGUGGUCGAAAGACUAAAGCUUUGGCGCUUCUGGAGGGGCCUGCGGCGGAUUAGCUAGUUGGUGGAGUAACGGCCUACCAAGGCGACGAUCCGUAGCUGGUCUGAGAGGAUGGUCAGCCACACUGGAACUGAGACACGGUCCAGACUCCUACGGGAGGCAGCAGCAAGGAAUUUGCGCAAUGGGCGAAAGCCUGACGCAGCAACGCCGCGUGGGGGAUGAAGGCCUUCGGGUUGUAACUCCUUUGCGAGGGAAGAAGAUCUGACGGUACCUCGCGAAUAAGCCACGGCUAACUACGUGCCAGCAGCCGC